This is a long non-coding RNA of Anguilla rostrata (American eel), 1464 nucleotides long. RefSeq lists it as uncharacterized. Lineage: Eukaryota; Metazoa; Chordata; Actinopteri; Anguilliformes; Anguillidae. The record is from RefSeq and is a predicted model, not a curated record. The transcript is spliced from 2 exons.
AACAGGCACCGGGGGCUUUGACAUGUAUCUGAAGGGUCGCUCUUUCUCCGCCUGUCUUCGGAAGAGACCGCUUAGCGGGUACACUCUGAGCUGCAUCAGGGUACUUAGUGUUCCCGAGUAAUCGCAUUUUGGACACAUUUAGAAAUUCUUUGUAUCUCUGCCGACUGAGAGAGAUGCACAGGAAAGAGCAUUUUUGAUGGAAAAUAGGAUCCAUGUAAUAUAAAGGUUGUUGUGACUGUUCUUGUAGGUAAUGUUUUUGUAGGUGUACCUCUGUUAGCUUACUGAAAGAGGAUUUUUGUAGGUGUAGCUCUACUAGCUUGCUGAAAGAAUAUUUGAAUAGCCCUUUCGUUGAGCUUGUUUGUUGCCUGCUUCUGUUUCCCCUUGUGCUCCAUAAAUCAGCAUUUUAUUUGAUCUCAGAAUGUAUUGAGGAUUCACAACCCUGCUUCUUAAUCAUCAAGCUUAAGGUUUUAGUUUUGUGAAAUCACUUGGACUUGUUCAAUUGACGUCCGACUAUGUAAAUAAAUUGCUGGGUAUGCACGGCGCAGAAAAUGAGGAUGUUUUGUAAAAAUGCUUUACAUAUUUUCAUAAUCAAAUAUGACAGCAAUUUAUGUCCCAGAGCUAAAUGUUGCUACCUAAGGCGAUCAGCGUCUUACUCAAAUAGGGCCCAUGUGACUCUGCAGAGUACCUUCAAUCUCAGGUUGAACACAUAGCAGCCUUCCCCAGAAGAUAGAAAUGAGAUUUUUACAAAAUCACCCAUCGCUUACAAAGAAUUGAAUAAAAAGUGACUUUUGUGAUUUAUUUCCCUGUUUCCAUCUGGCUACUUAGAGCAAUUCGGAUAAAUCAAUUUAAUAAAAUAAGAUUUGUGGUAGAUUGUGACACAUCGUUACAGAUGCGGUAAAUGGCCAUUUAUCCAAAAAGUAAACAUUUAAUCUGGGAGUGCCAGUUAAACGUAGAUUAAGAGAGUGUUCAUUUAAAUGAUAUUUGACGCGAAACCUUCCUAUUCCGGUCAUUUAGAUUAGCAGUGUGUCUGCGGCGGUGUGCGCGAACACACUCCAAACAUCUCUAAAUGGCGUACUUUACACGUCUCUUGACACAAGGCGACGUGCACAUGCUCGGAAUGAAAUAGCAGCGCAUGCUAAUAAUUGGCUUAAAGCAAUAAAAUUCAAGGUACGGGAAAAUAUUGAAGGGUCAGGGGGAAAAAAAGCCGACGGAAAGAACAAACGAUGCAAAAAGAAAAUGACACCGGGGUCCUGGUUUAAUAUGUAUGUAUUGCAGGUUGGCGGUUGAUUUCAUUAGCGAAUCUCAUUGUUAUGCAACGACUGCUCUCCUGCAGCAAAAUGAAUACUGUAUUCACACGGCUCGUACGUUCAAGGGAAAACGCGCGGGUUUGGGCGCCGCAUCCUUCGGAAAAAAGGGCCCCUUUCCUCUCCAGCUCCUCGCUUGCUUUUAAUUAUUAUUAUUUUU